RNAcentral lists this ribosomal RNA (451 nucleotides) under uncultured bacterium. RNAcentral describes it as "bacterial SSU rRNA". It matches the Rfam family "Bacterial small subunit ribosomal RNA", at positions 63 to 507 of the family's 1533-position model. The record is from RNAcentral.
CGAACGGAUAUAUGUUUUCGGUAAUAUAUAUUAGUGGCGCACGGGUGAGUAACACGUACAUAACUUAGCCCUCAAGCGGGGGAGUAGCCUUGGGAAACUGAGAGUAAUACCCCAUAGAAUUAUUGGACGGCAUCGUUUGAUAAUUAAAACUACGGUGUUUGGGGAUAGAUGUGCGUCUGAUUAGCUAGUUGGUGAGGUAACUGCUCACCAAGGCGACGAUCAGUAGGGGGGCGUGAGAGCGUGGCCCCCCCGCACGGGUACUGAGACACGGACCCGACUCCUACGGGAGGCAGCAGUAAGGAAUAUUGGUCAAUGGAGGGAACUCUGAACCAGCCAUGCCGCGUGAAGGAUGACGGCCCUCUGGGUUGUAAACUUCUUUUGGAUGGGGCGAAAAAACGGGAUUUAUCCUGGACUGACGGUACCAUCAGAAUAAGCACCGGCUAACUCCGUG